GAUCUCACUGUAUAUUCCUGGCUGGCCCAGAACUCUGUAUUGACCUCGCUGGUCCCAUAAAAAUCCAACUGCAUCUGACUCCCAAUGCUGAAUUAAAGGUAUUGCAAAGUAAUGAUCAAAAGAUUAGAUAUGGAUUCUUGUGGAGCUCAAAUCCUUGUGGAAAAAAAGAUAACAUGUGGAAACAAAUAAAACAUAGCCCGGGAAUGAUUUGCAAUGUUAAAAGUGUUACAAAGUCAAAAUAAGGUGUUGAAUAAAAGAGUGACAAGGGGACAAUGUGUGAAUCUGCUGUCAAAUAUCAGUUUCUAUGCUGAGAUCUGAAAGGGUGAGUUGUUUAGCUCCAACAUGCCUCUCUGCCACAGUCCUCUGCGUUAUGAAAUACGAGAAACAAUCUAGUCAACUGACCAUGAUAUAAAACUGCUGAAGACAUGAGCAAAAUGCUUUCUCCUGAAAAGAUGUUUAUACAUGUUUUCAUGAUGGUCAAUAGUAGACUAAAAAAGAGGUACAAUGGAAAUUCAGAAUGGAAAAACAGACACAUUUGGAUACUGGAAUUUUGAUCAGCACUAAGAAGAAAAGAGCUAUACAGCAAUGAGAAGAUAUAAAGAUAUAUCCACAUAUAGUAUAUAUCAUGUUUCAGUUGGGUUCCCUCACCAAACUGAAAGCCCAUAUAUUAUAGAUUUCAAGCAAUGAUGUUUGGAAACACAUA
Molecule: long non-coding RNA, 703 nt
Organism: Mesocricetus auratus (golden hamster)
Lineage: Eukaryota; Metazoa; Chordata; Mammalia; Rodentia; Cricetidae
Exons: 3
Source: RefSeq, a predicted model, not a curated record